This is an RNA transcript of Daucus carota subsp. sativus, 594 nucleotides long. RefSeq lists it as uncharacterized. Lineage: Eukaryota; Viridiplantae; Streptophyta; Magnoliopsida; Apiales; Apiaceae. The transcript is spliced from 2 exons. The record is from RefSeq and is a predicted model, not a curated record.
AAAGAGGCCUUUUCUUCUCACCCCUUGUAUUGCAUUUCAAAGAAUACAAAGUUCAAUAAAAAUGGGUUCCAAAAUUUCCCUUCUGCUUGGCCUGUCAAUUGCUUUUGCUCUUCUCAUGAAUUCAGAUGUUACAGCAAGAGAGCUAGUCGAAACUGCUACAAAGAACACAGGGCGUCGCCUACUAGACAACAGUAUCUUUCCAAGACCGAGCGUUAGCUACCCUGGAGGGGGAGGAAACCCUUACUACAACCGAAACCCCUACUACGGUGGAUGCUAUUACUCCUGCUAUGGAAGGUGUUGUUCUGAAGCUGAAGCAAAAGCACUCAAGGCCACUACUACUCAAGUUAAGCCUCACAAUUAGGUCGAGAUUAAAGAACUGCAUGCAUGUGUGUUACUGUAUUAUACAUAAUACUCCUCGUCUUUUACCCCAGAUUUACGUCCCUAGUCAUAACCAGGCUCCUAUUCCUUAUGAAUACUGUCGUUUGUAAUAAUAAAUACUCAGAUGCGCGUAUGCGUCGUCUUAGGUUGUAAAUAUGGUUUGUGGUUUGAUAGGUCAUGGUUAAAUGAGAAGAUUCUCAAUAUUUUUACUUUUUA